AUUGCCAUCGUUAGUGGGAAGGUGAUGUCUUCUGAUGUACAUGAUGUUUACUUCACAGACUAAAAUCCCAAACUAAAAUCCUAACCCUAAUUUUUGUUUAAAUUUUAAUCGUUUUUUCAAGAGUUUAGGUUAAUUUAGGGGCAAGGUUGUUUUGAUUUCCGGAAUAAACCAAAGAAUUGAGUUAAUUAAAACCCUACUUUAUAAAAUGAUCGCCUCCAGAAUUCUGCAGCUAUUCAUAAGAUUCAUAAGCUUAGAAAUCAGGUAUAUUCUUGGAAGGAUGCCUAAUUGGUUCAACACGGACCUCUUUGAUUCAACCCUUUCCGCUAUGUCCCGUAAAUUCCUAUUCACCCGUCACUCAAAUCAGCUGAACUCACCAUCUACUUUCAGAUAAUUGAAAUAGCCUUUCAGUUGGUUCUUUUAGUGAUACUUUCUUCUGUAAUGAAGGCGUUCAUUGAAAAUGCCCCAGUUUCACUUCCAAUCACCGAGGAAAAUCAGAAAUCACAGAGGCAAAAGCUACGAGAUUCCAGAAUUCUGCAGCCACGAGAUUCUGAAGGAACAGACAAACUGUUAAACAAGAAAGAUAAUUUGAAUGGGCAUGAAUCCCUGGGAUGCAGCAUGUAUCGGGUUGUUACUGCCUAAAGAGAGAAUUACUAGCAAGAAGGCAAAAGGUGUACCAAAAAUAAGAGGUACCGGAAGCAUUUGAGAGAGCUCUCAGUCUUUGAAAAAAUGGGUUGAUGACGAUAUUAAUACUAACAGAAAUCGGGUUAUGUUCAGAAUGUAUUCAUUUGUCCAAUUCAACACUGAGGACACUGGCGCAAUGUAUACUAAGGGCUUUUCCAGUAUCACUAUCAAACAAGUGAGUUGGUUGAGCUUGGCCAUACUGACAGAGAUCAAGCUGUGUUCGCUGCUUCUCACCCAACACCCGCUAUAAUAUUCCCUUUUGUAGCAGCAACAUGAUGGCUAGAAUAGGUAAGUAUGAUCCAUGUCACUCUUUCUCUGCUACCAUUAGUAUCAUAGGAUGUAUGUGCACAAGUGGAUAGUAUAUGCCUGGUGCUAUAUGCUUUUGAAGAACAUGGUUAAUGUUGAUACAUAUGCAAUCUAGCAUAUCACAGUUUUAUGACUGAAAAUUUUGUAGGUACAGAAGUUAAUUGGAGGGAGUCGUGACCCUUAGGUUUUGGUGGCUUCUCUUUUUAACUGUGAACACUACUGUUGCUCUUUUUAACUAGGAACGCCUUUGUUGAUGCCUUUUGGUGUAGGUGGAUAGGAUUGAGUUUACUGGGAGAGAGGUUUAUUAUUAGCAAAUCAUUCUUUACUCAUUUACUCAGUUUGAACCUUUACUCUGAUUAUUUGUUAGUUGUCUACAGGGAUAUCUAACCCCCCCUCUUACAUUUUCGUGUUACAGACCCUUGCAUCUGAUUAAUUUUCAUGUGGAAUCCAAUAUAGCUAUGGAAUAAUGAGUACUGAGCAUGAGGAUUCAUGAUUUUUUUUGAAUUUAUUAUUUGUACGAUCUUGAACAAAGAUAAUAAUUGUUGCUGAUAUCCUUGCAUGAUUUGCAUUAUUGAUUUAGCUUCUCAUAUGAGAUUUGCUAUGAGAGAAUCCUAGCAGUAGACCUCCAGCAUCAUAUGGUGCAAGAUCAGUUUCAUUUGUGUAAUUGAUAUAAUGUCUACUCUUCUGACUUUUCUUUAUGAUGCCAUGUUACAAAAACAACUACAGUCCAAGCGAGAGAAAUUCUGAUAACCCUCAGCAGCGCACUGAUCUUCACAGAAUUGAGGUGUUUGCUUGAGGUCUUCUGCUUGAUGAAGGAGCUCUGUCACUAUAUACUUUAACAUGUUUACAUUUGAAGAGGUUGCUGGCGUAAUUUUUUGCAUAUGAAAGAGAUGUUAUGAGGAUUUCUUUACUCCCAUAAUCAUUGCUCUGCAGUUCAUUGAGUAACGCUACUCAUUGCUCUGAAGAUUGCAUUUUUAGAGCAUUUGUAGCGUUACUCAUUGCUCUGAAGAUUGCAUUUUCAGCGUUACUCAAUGAACUACAAAACAAUGAUUAGGGGAGUAAAGAAAUCUUCAGAGUGGUUUUACUCUGCUUGCCAAAAAUGAAAUGAAAGACAUGCAAUAAUCAACAAAACACUGGUGCUACUCUUGCUUUGAAGAAGUCGAGUUUUCAAAAACCAGGUAAAUAUAUUUCGAAAUAGACAUUUGAAGUGUUAGGAAAACAAAUAUCCCUAUCGGAUUCCUGUCGGGAAAGUUUUCAGGUUAUUCGGCGGUAAGUCUAGCAACGCCUAUCUUUAAAAUACAUCUCAUAUAUUUUCUACAUGUAAAAGUUAGAGCACUGAUACAAAAUUACACAAGUUAAAAGCUACUUCACACCGACUUAUUCUUAUUUGUGUUGUGUAGGAUGUAUUUGUAAGGUUGUUGCUUGCAAGACUAUAGCAGUGAGUAUGCCAAAAAUCAAUCCAUAUUUAUUAUUGUACACUACGUUGUUGUGAUGUUGCCAAAAUACAUGAUUAUGAAUUUGAUCGCUUUUCCAUUCCUCAUGUGUUGCCACUUGCCAUCUUAGCUCAGUCGGAAGAGUGCACGGCUUUGAACCAUGUGGUUGUGGGUUCGAUUCCCACAGAUGGCCGAGGUCCUUAUGGUUAUACAUGUUUUCGUGCAGCUAAUCUUACUUGGUUCUUUGUGUGUUACCAAUACUUAUUACUUAUGACCCUUCUACUGAAGUGGACUUCAGCGGAAAUUAAUAUGUUUACAGGUAGCUAGCCUUAAAAUUGAUCUACCUAUUUUUUGAUCCAAAAAUUGCACCUCAUUGGUUAUUUUUUAACAGACCUGUGUUUAGUUUCAUAAGGAACUACAUAAUACACACUUAAAACUGCCAAUUUCUAGCUAAAACUUAAAUUUGUAUCGGUAUUCAAGUUUUAUUUGUUGAUGAAGAGGUCAUUAUAGGGAUGUAUUUUUCCAAGUACUACCACGCCAGAACCAUGGUACGAAACCUAAAAUGCAAAAAGAUUGUCGGAGGAAAUCUGUUUAGAGACUAUCUAUGAGUAGCUGAUGUCCAUGUAGUUUUUGCGCAUUUACCUAGAUAAUUAAUAUUGGUGUCCGAGCAUACGAUGGCAAAUUUCUGUGAAGAAGAUAGAAAAAGGAAGAGAAUACAGAGAAGUACGUACAAGUUUGGGUACCAGUAGAUAAAGGAAAUGAUAGAGCGAAACACGUACAAGCUUGGAUUUGGAAUGAUGACAUUCUUGGAGAAAGCUAAGAUAUUAAUAGAUGAAAUGUUUUUGGAGGAACUUGGAAUAAUAGUUGGCCAAGGCGAAAUAUGUGUAGAAAGAACAAGGAAUGGUUUCGUUCUUACGGAAAGAUGGUAGAAAAGGGUAUGGGGAAGGUUUGGAUCUUACGGGAAGAUGUUAGAAGAAGUACGGCCAUGACUCUGCUGAUUUUUUCACAUAGGAAAUAUUAGUAAUGAAAUGAUUGUCUUUUUCCCGGGUGUUAUUCUUUAACCAUUUUCUGUUUUUAUUUUGGAUGUACUUGAUGCUAGAUCUUUAUCCUUUUCGUCGGUGUUCUUGAAACUUAUCUUUAUCGGCUUGGUUUGUUAGUCCUUUCAAUUAUGUUUUUCCAAA
Molecule: long non-coding RNA, 3601 nt
Organism: Papaver somniferum (opium poppy)
Lineage: Eukaryota; Viridiplantae; Streptophyta; Magnoliopsida; Ranunculales; Papaveraceae
Exons: 8
Source: RefSeq, a predicted model, not a curated record